GUGACCUCAAAUCAGGUAGGACUACCCGCUGAACUUAAGCAUAUCAAUAAGCGGAGGAAAAGAAACUAACAAGGAUUCCCCUAGUAACUGCGAGUGAAGCGGGAAAAGCUCAAAUUUAAAAUCUGGCAGCCUUUGGUUGUCCGAGUUGUAAUCUAGAGAAGUGUUAUCCGCGCUGGACCGUGUACAAGUCUCCUGGAAUGGAGCGUCAUAGAGGGUGAGGAUCCCGUCUUUGACACGGACUGCCAGGGCUUUGUGAUGCGCUCUCAAAGAGUCGAGUUGUUUGGGAAUGCAGCUCAAAAUGGGUGGUAAAUUCCAUCUAAAGCUAAAUAUUGGCGAGAGACCGAUAGCGAACAAGUACCGUGAGGGAAAGAUGAAAAGAACUUUGGAAAGAGAGUUAAACAGUACGUGAAAUUGCUGAAUGGGAAACGCUUGAAGUCAGUCGCGUUGUCCAGGGAUCAACCUUGCUUUUGCUUGGUGCACUUUCUGGUUGACGGGUCAGCAUCAAUUUUGACUAUUGGAAAAAGAUUAGGGGAAUGUGGCAUCUUUGGAUGUGUUAUAGCCCUUGGUUGCAUACAAUGGUUGGGAUUGAGGAACUCAGCACGCCGCAAGGCCGGGUUUUUAACCACGUACGUGCUUAGGAUGC
This 643-nucleotide ribosomal RNA is filed under the name uncultured Cortinarius. RNAcentral's name for it is "eukaryotic LSU rRNA". It matches the Rfam family "Eukaryotic large subunit ribosomal RNA", at positions 1 to 626 of the family's 3401-position model. Lineage: Eukaryota; Fungi; Basidiomycota; Agaricomycetes; Agaricales; Cortinariaceae. The record is from RNAcentral.